AUGUGGCCUCGUUUGAUUUGACAUGGAGUUUUCUUCUUCCUUUGCAUUUAUUCAUUUAUCCGUUGAAGGUUAGGAAGGGUCUCUUGCACAUACAUCGCUCAUUUUCCUCUUGCAGGAGCACCAAAAAAAGUUCUCCCUUUCAAUGUCAAAAUGUUGACUAAGGAUUCUUUGACGGUUACUACAUCUUAUUUAAAAUUCAUGAAAUCUCAAAAUGUUCCUGUUUGGAUCAAUAUUUGCCCAUCACUCGGACCAAACUCAUUCAUCUUGCUCCCACUUGGAAUAAGAUUAUUCUCAAUCCCACUUGGAUCAGGAUCACGUUCAUUUGCAUUAAGUGAUGAAGGUGGGUCUUGAUGAGAAACUAAGAAAGAUUAUAAGACUUUGAAAUUUGUAAUCUAAAACAAGUCAUAGAAUUGGUGUGGCUAUAAAUCAUCUCGUUAAGGGUAAAAAUAGAAGUUUAAAGUUAAAUUGUAUCUGAAUAUAAAAAUCUGUCUUUCUUUUUGGUACAUACUAAGAGGAAAAGUGUGCUACAUAAAUUGAACAGACGGAUUACAAGAAUAGACUCCAUAAUUGCAGGCGGAACGGCCUCUCUGUUCUACUUAUUGGGCAUAUCUGGUGUGACAAGAAUGUUUUGCAGG
This 635-nucleotide long non-coding RNA is filed under the name Nicotiana benthamiana. Its description in RNAcentral is "long non-coding RNA (NBEN_LNC033065)". The record is from RNAcentral. Lineage: Eukaryota; Viridiplantae; Streptophyta; Magnoliopsida; Solanales; Solanaceae.